This 295-nucleotide unclassified non-coding RNA is filed under the name Athalia rosae (coleseed sawfly). RNAcentral describes it as "misc RNA ENSAEAG00005002795.1". The record is from RNAcentral. Lineage: Eukaryota; Metazoa; Arthropoda; Insecta; Hymenoptera; Athaliidae.
UACACUAUGAUUAGAUAAAGGAGUAAGGUAUAGCAGUUUACUUAAAUUCAUAAGAGAGUUCUUCUCUCUUUGAACUCUAUAUUCAAGUAUUUGUAGAUAGAUUUAGAUCAGGAAUUAAGAGUUGAUUCCUAACUCACCUCAGCAAAAGGAUAAUUCCAUUCUGCGAGCAGCUUAGCUGGCUCGCGGAGUGUUUCCAUAUUCAACCCUAAUACGUUGAAUUAUAGUUUGUUCAACGUUGAGAAUCUGGCAACAGAUAAGAAAUGUAUGAAGUUCAUCGCAAAAAAGGUGUAAACAC